AGUAAUGCAUAGGAACGUGCCUACAGGUGGGGAAUAACCACUGGAAACGGUGGCUAAUACCGCAUACCUACGUAAGUAGAAAUGUGCCCUCUUCUUGAAAGGUACAGCCUGUAGAGCGGCCUAUGUCCCAUUAGCUAGUUGGCGGGGUAAUGGCCCACCAAGGCGACGAUGGGUAGCUGGUCUGAGAGGACGAUCAGCCACACUGGGACUGAGACACGGCCCAG
RNAcentral lists this ribosomal RNA (224 nucleotides) under uncultured bacterium. RNAcentral describes it as "partial 16S ribosomal RNA". It matches the Rfam family "Bacterial small subunit ribosomal RNA", at positions 109 to 334 of the family's 1533-position model. The record is from RNAcentral.